CGGAUCGGGCACGUCCCGGCAAACCCGAUCCGACCAAGGGCCCCCGCGCAAGCUGGGGCCCUUUUCUUUU
RNAcentral lists this small RNA (70 nucleotides) under Rhodopseudomonas palustris BisA53. RNAcentral describes it as "Bradyrhizobiaceae sRNA BjrC68". It matches the Rfam family "Bradyrhizobiaceae sRNA BjrC68", at positions 10 to 81 of the family's 82-position model. Lineage: Bacteria; Pseudomonadati; Pseudomonadota; Alphaproteobacteria; Hyphomicrobiales; Nitrobacteraceae. The record is from Rfam by way of RNAcentral.